UACGUAGGGGGCAAGCGUUGUCCGGAUUUAUUGGGCGUAAAGAGCGUGUAGGCGGCCAGGUAGGUCAGCUGUGAAAACUCGAGGCUCAACCUCGAGACGUCGGUUGAAACCACCUGGCUAGAGUCCGGAAGAGGAGAGUGGAAUUCCUGGUGUAGCGGUGAAAUGCGCAGAUAUCAGGAGGAACACCAAUAGCGAAGGCAGCUCGCUGGGACGGUACUGACGCUAAGGCGCGAAAGCGUGGGGAGCGAACAGG
RNAcentral lists this ribosomal RNA (253 nucleotides) under uncultured bacterium. Its description in RNAcentral is "partial 16S ribosomal RNA". It matches the Rfam family "Bacterial small subunit ribosomal RNA", at positions 524 to 776 of the family's 1533-position model. The record is from RNAcentral.